GGAUCAUUAAAGAGUUUAAUAAAACUCCUAAACCCCUGUGAACUUACUGGUGUUUGGCUCGCCAGAUAUAGUCUGGUCCGUAAGCAAAUCGACUGCCUGCCUGUGUAACAGGCAGGUAAGCUUUUGUCGCGGGGUCCCGGAUCAACCCGGGCUAGAUAGCCACUUAACUAUAUACUUUUUAUAAAAUCUGUGAACUUACUAGGUUGGAUUCUCGCCAGAGAUAGUCUGGUUUCUGCUUCGCGGAUCGCCUACCUGUGACACCUGUCACAGGCAGGUAUGCUUCUGCCGCGGGUCCGUAAGUAAAUCAUCUGUUUCGCAAGGGACGGCGAUUUACCUGUGGAAGAGGUCCGCUAACUAUAUUCUUAGUAUAGUUUGUUCACUAGAUCAAACAUUCUGAAUAAAAACUUAAACUAGUUAAAACUUUCAACAACGGAUCUCUUGGUUCUGGCAUCGAUGAAGAACGCAGCGAAAUGCGAUAAGUAAUGUGAAUUGCAGAAUUCAGUGAAUCAUCGAAUCUUUGAACGCACAUUGCGCCCAUUAGUAUUCUAGUGGGCAUGCCUGUUCGAGCGUCAUUUCAACCCUUAAGCCCCUGUUGCUUAGCGUUGGGAGCCUACAGCCUGCUGUAGCUCCUUAAAGGUAGUGGCGGAGUCGGUUCACACUCUAGACGUAGUAAAAUCUUUAUCUCGCCUAUGGAUGAGCCGGCGCCUUGCCGUAAAACCCCUAAUCUUUCACAAGGUUGACCUCGGAUCAGGUAGGAAUACCCGCUGAACUUAAGCAUAUCAAUAAGCGGAGGAAAAGAAACCAACAGGGAUUGCCCUAGUAACGGCGAGUGAAGCGGCAACAGCUCAAAUUUGAAAUCUGGCCUUCGGGUCCGAGUUGUAAUUUGCAGAGGAUGCUUUGGGCGCGGUGCCUUCCGAGUUCCCUGGAACGGGACGCCUUAGAGGGUGAGAGCCCCGUACGGUUGGACACCAAGCCUCUGUAAAGCUCCUUCGACGAGUCGAGUAGUUUGGGAAUGCUGCUCUAAAUGGGAGGUAAAUUUCUUCUAAAGCUAAAUAUUGGCCAGAGACCGAUAGCGCACAAGUAGAGUGAUCGAAAGAUGAAAAGCACUUUGAAAAGAGGGUUAAAUAGCACGUGAAAUUGUUGAAAGGGAAGCGUUUGCGACCAGACCUUUUCCCAGCGGAUCAUCCGGUGUUCUCACCGGUGCACUUCGCUGGGUUGAGGCCAGCAUCGGUUUCCGCAGGGGGAUAAAAGCCUGGGGAACGUAGCUCCCUCGGGAGUGUUAUAGCCCCUCGCAUAAUACCCUUGCGGGGACCGAGGACCGCGCU
Molecule: ribosomal RNA, 1325 nt
Filed under: Xylaria sp. genotype 218
Lineage: Eukaryota; Fungi; Ascomycota; Sordariomycetes; Xylariales; Xylariaceae
Description: eukaryotic LSU rRNA
Rfam family: Eukaryotic large subunit ribosomal RNA (bases 738-1325)
Source: RNAcentral